UGGGCAGAGGCCGUCGAGGUGGACAACACCGCCCUCUCUGAGGGCCCACCAACCCCCAAUGAUGACAAAGUUCCAGCAGCUGCCACAGGCUGGACCGAGGUGGACCCGGGGUUGGGCUCUACUCCCUACGACCCUCCCGCAAUAUGCUACCUGUAUCGUGGCCCAGGAGACCUGGCCCACUGGACAUUGUACCAGUGGGCAGCCAGCAUAGGUGUCAUCCCUCGCGCAAACACCAGUGACAAGACACCGUUUUGCUGUUCAUAUACAUGUGUUGUCCUUGAUACCUUGAGCAGCGAACUUAGGCAAGAAGGUGUGUGUCUAGAGAAUGGAGUUGUAUCUGCACACCUGGUGAGCACCCAGCGCAGCCUACAGAGCUCACAGUUCCUCACUGAGGCUGCAAUCUGGCCAUUCGACACAGAACAAGCAGUGUAUUAUUGUGCCGUGCUGGCAGGCCCUGUGGACUUCACUUUGGGAAUUCCCUGGGCUCCUGGCCAGGAUUCUUGCCUGUACCAUGAGAGGCCCCAGCGCUGGGCCUGUGC
Ochotona curzoniae (black-lipped pika) is the source of this 539-nucleotide long non-coding RNA. RefSeq lists it as uncharacterized. The transcript is spliced from 5 exons. Lineage: Eukaryota; Metazoa; Chordata; Mammalia; Lagomorpha; Ochotonidae. The record is from RefSeq and is a predicted model, not a curated record.